This 113-nucleotide ribosomal RNA is filed under the name Acanthosepion pharaonis. The record is from RNAcentral. Lineage: Eukaryota; Metazoa; Mollusca; Cephalopoda; Sepiida; Sepiidae.
UACGGCGAUAUUGCGUUGAAACACCGGUUCACGUAUGAUCACCGAAGUUAAGCAACGUCGAGCCUGGUCAGUACCAAGAUGAGUGACCGCUUAGGAAUACCAGGUGCUGUAAG